RNAcentral lists this ribosomal RNA (430 nucleotides) under uncultured prokaryote. RNAcentral describes it as "bacterial SSU rRNA". It matches the Rfam family "Bacterial small subunit ribosomal RNA", at positions 355 to 796 of the family's 1533-position model. The record is from RNAcentral.
CAGGGAAUAUUGCACAAUGGGCGAAAGCCUGAUGCAGCGACGCCGCGUGAGGGAUGAAGGCUCUCGAGUUGUAAACCUCUUUCAGUAGGGACGAAGCGAAAGUGACGGUACCUACAGAAGAAGCCCCGGCCAACUACGUGCCAGCAGCCGCGGUAAUACGUAGGGGGCAAGCGUUGUCCGGAUUUAUUGGGCGUAAAGAGCUCGUAGGCGGCUUAGCAAGUCGGUCGUGAAAUACCGAGGCUCAACCUCGGAAUGCCGGUCGAAACUGCUAUGGCUAGGGUCCGGUAGAGGAGAGUGGAAUUCCCGGUGUAGCGGUGAAAUGCGCAGAUAUCGGGAGGAACACCAGUAGCGAAGGCGGCUCUCUGGGCCGGUACCGACGCUGAGGAGCGAAAGCGUGGGGAGCAAACAGGAUUAGAUACCCCCGUAGUCC